AACGAACGCUGGCGGCAUGCCUAACACAUGCAAGUCGAACGGAAAGGCCGUGCUUUUUUGGGGUGCUCGAGUGGCGAACGGGUGAGUUACCCGUGAGUAACCUGCCCUUGACGUUGGGAUGACUUCAGACAACUGGGGCUAAUACCGGCUAGGAGCUCCUGCUGCAGGGUGGGCGUUGGAAAGUUUCGGCGGUUGGGGAUGGACUCGGGGCUUAUCAGCUUGUUGGUGGGGUAGUGGCAUACCAAGGCUUUGACGGGUAGCCGGCCUGGGAGGGGGACCGGCCACGUUGCGACUGAGAUACGACCCAGACUCGAACGGGAGGCAACGGUGGAGAGUAUUAUACAGUGGGCGGAAGCCUGAUGCGACAACGCCGCGUGCGGGAAGACGGCCAUGGGGUUGGGAAGCGCAGUCGCCUGUUACGGAGCGUGAGUGACGGUAAUGGGAGAAGAAGCACCGGCUAACUACGUG
Molecule: ribosomal RNA, 468 nt
Filed under: uncultured bacterium
Lineage: Bacteria
Description: partial 16S ribosomal RNA
Rfam family: Bacterial small subunit ribosomal RNA
Source: RNAcentral